This 1279-nucleotide long non-coding RNA is filed under the name Sinocyclocheilus anshuiensis. Its description in RNAcentral is "lncRNA (ENSSANG00000003235.1)". The record is from RNAcentral. Lineage: Eukaryota; Metazoa; Chordata; Actinopteri; Cypriniformes; Cyprinidae.
AAACCAGGCUAAAGUUAUCAAGAGACUUAUCCAAGCUCUGAAGCUGUCCAAGAACAACCAGCCGUCAAGUGAUGCCACCGCUAAUGCAGUUAACUGUUCUGUUGAGAAAAGUACACCUGACAUGCCUGAGGGUGUGACAAUUCCUGAUGGGUUAGUUGGGCCGGCUAGCCUGGUGCUGCUGAAGGUUAAUGGACAACCUUGCACUGCUCUGUUAGAUAGUGGCUCUCAGGUGACGAUCAUUUUUGAACACUGGUACCUGAAGCACUUGUCUGAUAUCCCCAUUCAGCCAGUAUCUGGUCUUUCCCUGUGGGGUUUAAGUGAGUCUGGAGCUAGCUACCCUUACCGUGGCUACGUGGUAGUUGAUGUGGAGUAUCCAGCUGAGGUGUUAGGAACCAGUCAGACUGUAACUGUCCUAUCUCUCAUAUGUCCUAACCCUAGGACUGAAGAUAAUACGUCUGUCAUUGUGGGCACCAAUGCGAGCCAUGUUAGACGUUUGGUGAAUCAAUGCAAAGAGAAUGGCAUUGAUGUCACCCGAACACUAGGUCUUCGUGUUCAUGUUGAGGAAGAUCCACCUGUGCUAAAGGGUGUUGUGGUCCCAGUCCAAGAGGAGGAGGCUGGCCAUGUCCUAUGGAUGGGUCCAGGCCCCUUGGUCUUACCCCCAGAUGGUGACACUCAGGUUGUGUGCAAAGUCGAGUUGAAUAAACCUGUUGCUCAAGAAAUCCUGAUGAUAGAUUCCUCACCAACAGCUGCCUUACCUGCUGAUGUGAUUUUUCAUCCCAUGGUUGUGCCCAGUGGGGCAUUGGAUGACAACAGUUUGAGAAUAUUACUAAAAAAUGACUCUUCAAGAGAAACUUCCAUACCUGUGGGAACAGUGAUUGGAUGUGUGUACCACAUUGAUUCAGUUGCGACGAUUCCCCCUAAGGAGACUGCUUCCUCUGACUUUGAUGAGAGCAUGAUCAACUUUGGGGACUCUCCUAUCUCAGAACAAUGGAAGAACAGAUUAUGUAAGAAACUGGCUCCGAAGUUUCAUGUAUUCUCAAUGCAUGAGUGGGACGUGGGAUUAGCAAGAGGAGUAGAGCACAGAAUUCGUCUCUCUGAUUCCCGGCCUUUCCGUCAACGAUCACGCCGGCUAGCCCCUGCAGAUAUCGAAGAUGUGAGACAGCAUUUACAAGAACUGCUGCAGGCAGGGAUCAUAACAGAGUCGCGAAGCCCCUAUGCAUCCCCAAUAGUUGUAGUCAGAAAGAAGACUGGGGCUAUUAGGAUGUGUAUAGAUUACCGA